GACGAACGCUGGCGGCGUGCUUAACACAUGCAAGUCGAACGGAAAGGCCCUGCUUUUGUGGGGUGCUCGAGUGGCGAACGGGUGAGUAACACGUGAGUAACCUGCCCUUGACUUUGGGAUAACUUCAGGAAACUGGGGCUAAUACCGGAUAGGAGCUCCUGCUGCAUGGUGGGGGUUGGAAAGUUUCGGCGGUUGGGGAUGGACUCGCGGCUUAUCAGCUUGUUGGUGGGGUAGUGGCUUACCAAGGCUUUGACGGGUAGCCGGCCCGAGAGGGUGACCGGCCACAUUGGGACUGAGAUACGGCCCAGACUCCUACGGGAGGCAGCAGUGGGGAAUAUUGCACAAUGGGCGGAAGCCCGAUGCAGCAACGCCGCGUGCGGGAUGACGGCCUUCGGGUUGUAAACCGCUUUCGCCUGUGACGAAGCGUGAGUGACGGUAAUGGGUAAAGAAGCACCGGCUAACUACGUG
This 468-nucleotide ribosomal RNA is filed under the name uncultured bacterium. RNAcentral describes it as "partial 16S ribosomal RNA". It matches the Rfam family "Bacterial small subunit ribosomal RNA", at positions 28 to 507 of the family's 1533-position model. The record is from RNAcentral.